AAUUGAGAAAGUCUUUGGGGGAAAUGAAGCAACUAAGGGGCAAAGAUUUUGAUCUUAAAAUGAAUGAUAUUCAAACUUGGGUAAGUGCUGCCUUGACUGACGAGGACACUUGCACCGAGGGGUUUGCCGGAAAAGUGAUGAACGGGAAAGUUAAGACAGUAGUAAGGGGAAGGAUUCUGGAAGUUGCACAUAUGACGAGCAAUGCCUUGGCUUUGAUCAACAGCCUUGCCGCUCUUCACGGCUAAAUCAAAAAAUCAAUUACACACUCCUAUAUAGUGUUAUUUCUCGUCUUUCUCAAAGUAUACUUAGUUCUUCCUUUGUUGAUCCCUGAAGUACCAGGGCCGUCAGCUUUAGGUGAUUUUCUUAUUUAAGUCUGUUCCAUAUGCAUUUAUAGAAAAGGUAAUUUUGUGCAUGAUAUACACGGUGCAACAAGAGUAGUAUAAUCUCAGAUAGUAAUUCCUCGAUCAAUCUUAGUUGCAAUAGUGAGUGAGAUCAAAAAAUGAUUUGAAGUUCAAAUGUGGCAAUAGAAUGAUUAGGACUGCGUGCAAUCCGAAAAGCACCUCAAGAGCUAUGAAAAAAGAAAAAAAAAUCAACUAAAGCGAAUAUAUAAUGUUACUUUUUUUUUGUGGGGGGGGGGGGGGGGGG
Molecule: long non-coding RNA, 645 nt
Filed under: Nicotiana tabacum (common tobacco)
Lineage: Eukaryota; Viridiplantae; Streptophyta; Magnoliopsida; Solanales; Solanaceae
Description: long non-coding RNA (NTAB_LNC007636)
Source: RNAcentral